GGCGCCCUGCGGUGUGCGUGAUGCUGUUCUGACGCCCAGACCCUACAUCAAGCGAGAGGGGUCUGUUGCUCUUAUGAGAUGGGGUGACCUCCGGCCUCGGCCGGCGGACACUCUGUCGGGCAGGACCCCACCUGACCGACGCGGGUUCUCGCGCGUCUCAGCACACGGCACUGCGGGGCGUGU
RNAcentral lists this non-coding RNA (183 nucleotides) under Ardenticatenia bacterium. RNAcentral's name for it is "6S RNA". It matches the Rfam family "6S / SsrS RNA". Rfam says of the family: E. coli 6S RNA was the first non coding RNA to be sequenced, but its function was unknown until recently. It consists of 184 nucleotides that fold into an extended hairpin structure with a large single-stranded internal bulge. The 6S RNA specifically associates with RNA polymerase holoenzyme containing the sigma70 specificity factor. Lineage: Bacteria; Bacillati; Chloroflexota; Ardenticatenia. The record is from RNAcentral.